RNAcentral lists this ribosomal RNA (429 nucleotides) under uncultured bacterium. RNAcentral describes it as "bacterial SSU rRNA". It matches the Rfam family "Bacterial small subunit ribosomal RNA", at positions 355 to 776 of the family's 1533-position model. The record is from RNAcentral.
UGAGGAAUAUUGCGCAAUGGGCGAAAGCCUGACGCAGCGACGCCGCGUGGAGGAUGGAGGCCUUCGGGUCGUAAACUUCUGUUAAACGGGAAGAAAUACACAGACUUAAUAAGUCUGUGGGCUGACGGUACCGUUAGAGAAAGCACCGGCUAACUUCGUGCCAGCAGCCGCGGUAAUACGAAGGGUGCGAGCGUUAUUCGGAAUCAUUGGGCGUAAAGGGUGCGUAGGCGGCAUGCUAAGUCAACUGUUUAAUUUCCCGGCUUAACCGGGAAUCAGCGGUAGAUACUGGCGCGCUAGAGUGUGGAAGAGAGGAAUGGAAUUCUCGGAGUAGCGGUAAAAUGCGUAGAUCUCGAGAGGAACACCAAUGGCGAAGGCAGUUCCUUGGUCCACUACUGACGCUGAGGCACGAAAGCGUGGGGAGCAAACAGG